UGGGAAUCUUGGCAAUGGGMGAAAGCCWGACCCARCAACUGCCGGCGUGGAGGAUGAAGUCYUUUAUGGAUGUAAACUUUCUUUUAGAGGGGACGAACAUCAUGAUUUGUCAGAAAUUGACGGUACCCUCAGAAAAAGCACCGGCUAAMUACGUKCCAGCAGCCGCGGUAAUACGUAGGGAGCAAGCGUUGUCCGGAUUCACUGGGUGUAAAGGGUGCGCAGGCGGGMUCUUAAGUCAAAGGUGAAAUCUCCCGGCUUAACCGGGAAAUUGCCUUUGAUACUGGGAGUCUUGAGUGCGGGAGAGGGAGAUGGAAUUCCAGGUGUAGCGGUGAAAUGCGUAGAUAUCUGGAGGAACACCGGAGGCGAAGGCGGUCUCCUGGCCCGUUACUGACGCUCAGGCACGAAAGCGUGGGGAGCAAACAGGAUUAGAUACCCUGGUAGUCCACGCCCUAAACGAUGGGUACUAGAUGUCGGCUCCGUAAGGGGUCGGUGUCGAAGCUAACGCAUUAAGUACCCCACCUGGGGAGUACGAUCGCAAGGUUG
This 543-nucleotide ribosomal RNA is filed under the name uncultured Chlorobiota bacterium. RNAcentral describes it as "bacterial SSU rRNA". It matches the Rfam family "Bacterial small subunit ribosomal RNA", at positions 356 to 896 of the family's 1533-position model. The record is from RNAcentral. Lineage: Bacteria; Pseudomonadati; Chlorobiota.